This 305-nucleotide ribosomal RNA is filed under the name uncultured bacterium. Its description in RNAcentral is "bacterial SSU rRNA". It matches the Rfam family "Bacterial small subunit ribosomal RNA", at positions 338 to 660 of the family's 1533-position model. The record is from RNAcentral.
CCUACGGGACGCAGCAGUGGGGAAUAUUGCACAAUGGGGGAAACCCUGAUGCAGCGACGCCGCGUGAGUGAAGAAGUAUUUCGGUAUGUAAAGCUCUAUCAGCAGGGAAGAAAAUGACGGUACCUGACUAAGAAGCCCCGGCUAACUACGUGCCAGCAGCCGCGGUAAUACGUAGGGGGCAAGCGUUAUCCGGAUUUACUGGGUGUAAAGGGAGCGUAGACGGCCAGACAAGUCAGAAGUGAAAGCCCAGGGCUCAACCCUGGGACUGCUUUUGGAACUGUGUAGCUGGAGUGUCGGAGAGGCAG